This 367-nucleotide long non-coding RNA is filed under the name Homo sapiens (human). RNAcentral's name for it is "HSALNT0384863". Lineage: Eukaryota; Metazoa; Chordata; Mammalia; Primates; Hominidae. The record is from RNAcentral.
CUCAGGAGGGUUUCUGGAUGCCAACGAGACCCCAGCCACAGCCGGUCCCCAGAUUCUUGACAUCAUCACAAGAAAGAAUUCACAGGGUUGCUUCAGCGUCCUCACAACAGGAUGGCUGACUUCCCCAAGAGAGCAGCUCAAGAGAGAGCAAGGAGAAAGACACAACAUCUUUAAUGAUCUAUGCUUGGAAGCUAUAUGUUGCCACUUUUGCAAUAUCCUACAGAUCGCUUAGCUCCAUCCAACAUGGAAAGGGAUCAGACACGGGCAUCAUUGCCAGAUGAUAAUCCCUGAUGGUCAUCUUGGAUGCUGGCCACCACAGUUACAUUUGAGAGAUGGGGUUUAGCCAUGUUGCCCAGGAUCCUGGGCU